This 270-nucleotide ribosomal RNA is filed under the name uncultured bacterium. Its description in RNAcentral is "partial 16S ribosomal RNA". It matches the Rfam family "Bacterial small subunit ribosomal RNA", at positions 88 to 354 of the family's 1533-position model. The record is from RNAcentral.
CCGGCGACCGGCGCACGGGUGAGUAACACGUAUGCGACCUGCCCCCCGCAGGGGGAUAACCGGGAGAAAUCCCGACUAAUACCGCGUAACGCCGCGGACCUGCAUGGGUCUGCGGCCAAAGGAAGCGAUUCCGGCGGGGGAUGGGCAUGCGGCGCAUUAGCUAGUCGGCGGGGUAACGGCCCACCGAGGCGACGAUGCGUAGAGGUUCUGAGAGGAAGGUCCCCCACACUGGUACUGAGACACGGACCAGACUCCUACGGAAGGCAGCAG